AAACUAAGUGCGACUGGUAGACGUCAGGAAAGGGUUAACCCUUGGUGGGGAGCAGAGCUUGCUAAGGGUGUGAAAGGGUCUCUGAGAGGAAACAUUUUAUUUCUUGACUUGGAUUUGAAGGAACAUUCAGUUUCUGAAAAUAUGAAUUUUGUCCUCAUUUUCAUACUUUAUAUAACUAUUUAACCAUUCAAUAAAAUGUUCAAAAAUGUUUUCCUACUCCUGUCCCCCCAAAAAGCAGAUUACCUAUUAGAAGUUCAGACAGGGGUUAAUCUUACGGCUGAGGACAGUGACUAGAAGGUGAGCUGAGAGAUUUCCUGACCUUCUGUGGGUAUGUUCCCUUUGUGAACAGUCAUUGAGCUGUACACAUGUGUGUGUGUGUAUAUAAAACUGUAUAGACACAUACAUGUAGUUCAAUAAAUUUUACACUAAAAUAUAGGAAUACUUAAUUUUGAAAUUUUAAACUUUAUGUCCUGAAUAAUACCCUACAAAAAUGCAACCUAUCAGAUCUUUUACUGUUUUAAAUUUUAUUAUACAAUAAAAUAUUCCCCAGUUAGUCCCCUUCUGCUAUGCUAAAACAUUAUCAGUGAUAAUCAAUUACAGAUCAGAGAUCUUUUUUAGACCUAUGAAACUCUUUUUUGGUUCUCCUAUUGUGUUUUUCUAUCAGCCUGCUAGGAUAUUAAAAUGACUAUUUAGCUUGGGUUGGCAAAUACAUGGCAAACGUAUCCCAUCGUGCAUGCGUUUAAAACACCUGUAGUCUGAACGUGUGACAUAUCUACAUGGCUCACUAUCCCUCUGCCAGUCUAACAAAUACAUCAAACUGGAGUCUCAAGCACAGCAUCUCCGGGAAGACUCUCGCUUAUGCAGGUGGAUUGUGAUAGCUCACUUCACAGCUCUGAAAAACUAGGCAAGCACCUGGAACAACAGAUGCUCCAUCAAUAUGACAAUCAGGGCAGAUUUAAUUUUCUGAGAUUAAAGAGUCCAGGCCUUAAUCUGCUAACUACAUAGAAACAAGGAGAGCAGUUAGAGUCAUUUUACCAGAUAACUAAUAAGAUUUAGUAAAUAGAAUCAUUUUAUCAACUAAGUACAUGUAAGAUUUCAGCUGGCAACAGAUUUAUCUGUUGUGAUUGAGUAGUUGCCAUUUUAAUUAUACUAUCUUUUUAAUGAAGAAGGUUGGGAAAUUAUGCCAUUCAGAAUACAGACAGGCUUUAGCAAACAUUCAAAGAACAGAUAAAUACUGCAUGUACCUUAUUAACUUUUCUACCAGCAAAGUUAAAUCUAUUUAAUGUGUCCCAUCUGAAAUCAGAAACUACCACAUGCACGUGAAAAACGCUGAAUCACAGGCGCUAUUUCAUUCACAAUUACAUUAAAACAAUUAGAGAAAGGCAUAGUACACUGUAAAACAGAAAUGGUGCUCUUAAUCACUGAGCAAUAAGUAAGGAAUCAUGGAAGGAAUAAGGAAAGAGUAGGAAAAUUAUUUUGGUGUCUGCCUUAAGCCAAACAUGCUUGG
This 1507-nucleotide long non-coding RNA is filed under the name Capra hircus (goat). RNAcentral describes it as "lncRNA (ENSCHIG00010011255.1)". The record is from RNAcentral. Lineage: Eukaryota; Metazoa; Chordata; Mammalia; Artiodactyla; Bovidae.